Molecule: ribosomal RNA, 496 nt
Filed under: uncultured bacterium
Lineage: Bacteria
Description: partial 16S ribosomal RNA
Rfam family: Bacterial small subunit ribosomal RNA
Source: RNAcentral
GGUGAACGCUGGCGGCGUGCCUAAUACAUGCAAGUCGAGCGAACGGACGAGAAGCUUGCUUCUCUGAUGUUAGCGGCGGACGGGUGAGUAACACGUGGAUAACCUACCUAUAAGACUGGGAUAACUUCGGGAAACCGGAGCUAAUACCGGAUAAUAUUUUGAACCGCAUGGUUCAAAAGUGAAAGACGGUCUUGCUGUCACUUAUAGAUGGAUCCGCGCUGCAUUAGCUAGUUGGUAAGGUAACGGCUUACCAAGGCAACGAUGCAUAGCCGACCUGAGAGGGUGAUCGGCCACACUGGAACUGAGACACGGUCCAGACUCCUACGGGAGGCAGCAGUAGGGAAUCUUCCGCAAUGGGCGAAAGCCUGACGGAGCAACGCCGCGUGAGUGAUGAAGGUCUUCGGAUCGUAAAACGCUGUUAUUAGGGAAGAACAUAUGUGUAAGUAACUGUGCACAUCUUGACGGUACCUAAGCAGAAAGCCACGGCUAACUACGU